CCUGAUAUUAUAUAUUAAAGGGCUGCAGUAUAUUGACUGUACAAAGGUAGCAUAAUCAAUAGUCUUUUAAUUGAAGACUUGUAUGAAAGAUUGGAUGAAAUAUAAACUGUCUUUAUUUUAAAUAAAAAAUUUAAUUUUUUAAUUAAAAAGUUAAAAUAUAUAUAAAAGACGAGAAGACCCUAUAGAGUUUUAUAUAUUAAUUUUAUUUUAAUUAUUUAUAAAUAUAUAAAUUUAAAUUAAUUUGAUAUAUUUUGUUGGGGUGAUAAAAAAAUAUAUAAAACUUUUUUUAUAAUUUAACUUAAAUAAUAGAAUAAUUGAUCCAUAAAUUAUGAUUAAAAGAAAAAAUUACCUUAGGGAUAACAGCGUAAUUUUUUUUUUUAGUACAAAUAAAAAAAAAAGUUUGCGACCUCGAUGUUGGAUUAAGAUAAAAUUUAAAUGCAAAAGUUUAAAAUUUUUGAUCUGUUCGAUCAUUAAAAUCUUACGUGAUCUGAGUUCA
This 496-nucleotide ribosomal RNA is filed under the name Lycaenidae sp. BAHAR136-14. RNAcentral describes it as "partial 16S ribosomal RNA". The stretch from base 356 to 496 matches the Rfam family "Archaeal large subunit ribosomal RNA", at positions 2542 to 2682 of the family's 2987-position model. The record is from RNAcentral. Lineage: Eukaryota; Metazoa; Arthropoda; Insecta; Lepidoptera; Lycaenidae.